This 491-nucleotide ribosomal RNA is filed under the name uncultured bacterium. RNAcentral describes it as "partial 16S ribosomal RNA". It matches the Rfam family "Bacterial small subunit ribosomal RNA", at positions 30 to 507 of the family's 1533-position model. The record is from RNAcentral.
AUUGAACGCUGGCGGCAUGCUUUACACAUGCAAGUCGAACGGUAACAGGCCUUCGGGUGCUGACGAGUGGCGAACGGGUGAGUAAUGCAUCGGAACGUGCCCAGAGGUGGGGAUAACGCAGCGAAAGCUGUGCUAAUACCGCAUGUGAUCUGAGGAUGAAAGCGGGGGACCAGGCAGCAAUGUUUGGCCUCGCGCCUUUGGAGCGGCCGAUGUCAGAUUAGGUAGUUGGUGGGGUAAAGGCCUACCAAGCCGACGAUCUGUAGCUGGUCUGAGAGGACGACCAGCCACACUGGGACUGAGACACGGCCCAGACUCCUACGGGAGGCAGCAGUGGGGAAUUUUGGACAAUGGGCGCAAGCCUGAUCCAGCAAUGCCGCGUGCGGGAAGAAGGCCUUCGGGUUGUAAACCGCUUUUGUACGGAACGAAAAGGCUCUGGCUAAUACCUGGGGCUGAUGACGGUACCGUAAGAAUAAGCACCGGCUAACUACGUG